This 243-nucleotide unclassified non-coding RNA is filed under the name fungal sp. RNAcentral describes it as "partial internal transcribed spacer region". The stretch from base 1 to 65 matches the Rfam family "Eukaryotic small subunit ribosomal RNA", at positions 1767 to 1831 of the family's 1831-position model. The record is from RNAcentral. Lineage: Eukaryota; Fungi.
CUUGGUCAUGAGGAAGUAAAAGUCGUAACAAGGUUUCCGUAGGUGAACCUGCGGAAGGAUCAUUAAAAACACAGUAGCAAAAUCCUCUUCCCACCUGUGCACUUAUUGAAAGGACAAACUUUUUCUCGAUGACCUUAUUCUCGUAAUAGGGUCAGAAGUAGAAAAAUCUCCAUUGCCUAUUAUUUUGACUGAACUUUAUUAUAAAAUUAAAUACAACUUUCAACAACGGAUCUCUUGGCUCUC